This 253-nucleotide ribosomal RNA is filed under the name uncultured bacterium. RNAcentral's name for it is "partial 16S ribosomal RNA". It matches the Rfam family "Bacterial small subunit ribosomal RNA", at positions 524 to 776 of the family's 1533-position model. The record is from RNAcentral.
UACGUAGGGUGCGAGCGUUGCCCGGAUUUAUUGGGCGUAAAGGGCUCGUAGGCGGUCCGUCACGUCGGGAGUGAAAACUCGGGGCUCAACCCCGAGCCUGCUUUCGAUACGGGCGGACUAGAGGUAUGCAGGGGAGAACGGAAUUCCUGGUGUAGCGGUGAAAUGCGCAGAUAUCAGGAGGAACACCGGUGGCGAAGGCGGUUCUCUGGGCAUUACCUGACGCUGAGAAGCGAAAGCAUGGGGAGCGAACAGG